Non-coding RNA from Anolis sagrei ordinatus, 1768 nucleotides. Lineage: Eukaryota; Metazoa; Chordata; Lepidosauria; Squamata; Anolidae. The record is from RefSeq and is a predicted model, not a curated record.
CUCACCAGCGGCACAGUGCAUACCCAAACCUCCCUAGGGUGACAUCAUCCCAUAUAUGGAUGCUCAGGCCCAGCCCUCCCCUUUCUCCUGGUUCUAAAUUCAUUGCCAGAUCCACAGUCUACUGCAAAUGUGCCACGUCAAGGCUCGAAAUCGCAGCACUUCGGUGCAUUUCAAGGAGGGCUGCAGAAUUUGAGGGAAUGCUGAGAACAAAGCCCGAUAUGGGAAGGGAGAUUUCUUUGCUUUUUUAAAACCCAAAGACUCAAAGAGGAACCCAACCCAAUCCUGCUCCGUCGCCCCAGUGUUCAGACUACCUGUUCAGGACAAUGCUGUUGUACAGUAGUCUGCACAUUGGUUAGACUGGGCAAGGAAACGCACCAAGACGGACUCCAGAAAACGUCAGAGAGAAGACUGGCAAGCAUGGCGCUUUUCAGAUUUUAUGCUCAGUGUUUUUCUUCACAGGUCUGGCAUGGUAGGAAAUAGGGCAUACGGGGAAAGGAAGACUUCCGAGUAGUUCAUGGAAGACAUACUGGCACGACCCAUUUAUUAUCAGGAAAUUAUCUUGGGAGCUUCUGGAAAGGCACGAACAUUUGAGUGACCUUUUAAGAUCCUGGCCCAUUGAUUCCAGUGAUAGAAAGAGGAAUUCCUUUGUUCUGUAUCUCACUGUGCAGUCCAAUCCUAUUCGGUCUGAUUUCACAGGACUAACUUCCAGGUAAGAUAAUAUACAACACCAUCUUUCAGGCCAUCACAUUCAUGUUUUAGAUGAAGGCCAUAUUUAUCUUUUAGAUUUCUUGCAUCUUAGCAACACAAUUACAUUGUAAAUAGAAGUUACAACAGCAAAUUGAAAGAAGCCAAUAGUUUUGCAAUAAAAGGGUAUAUUAUUAUUAUUAUUAUUAUUAUUAUUAUUAUUAUUAUUAUUAGAUACACAACAAGAUUAAUACACAGCAAACAAGAUCAUUAUCCUGGCUUUUGUAUUGGAUCGCAUGGCGGUCACUUUCCAAAUGACUAGGACUGUGUGAUUUAUUAUUAUUAUUAUUAUUAUUAUUAUUAUUAUUAUUAUUAUUAUUAUUACGGCCAAUUCUCUCACACCAGAAGCGACUUGCAGUUUCUCAGGUCACUCCUGACACAACAAAAAAAAAWUAUUAUUAUUAUUAUUAUUAUUAUUAUUAUUAUUAUUAUUUUACUGACACAAAAGCACAGUAUGCCACAGCAAACGAGAUCUAUAUGCUGGAUUUCGUAUCACAAAAUCACAAGUCGAACACUUCACAAGCGUAAUAAUAAUAAUAAGAAMAAUAAUAAUAAUGACACAAAAACACAGUAUGUCACAGCAAACGAGAUCUAUAUGCUGGAUUUCGUAUCACAAAAUCACAAGUCGAACACUUCCCAAGCGUAAUAAUAAUAAUAAUAAUAAUAAUAAUAAUAAUAAUAAUAAUAAUAAUAAUUCUGACACAAAAACACAGUAUGACACAGCAAAUGAAAUCUAUAUGCAAAGGCUCUGGCAUAAACCAAUACAGGUGGUCCCAGUGGUCAUUGGCACACUGGGUGCCGUGCCAAAAGAUCUCAGCCGGCAUUUGGAAACAAUAAACAUGAAUCAUGAUCUGUCAACUGCAAAAGGCCUCCUUACUUAGAUCUGCACGCAUCAUUCGGAAAUACAUCACACAGUCCUGGACACUUGGGAAGUGAUUUUGUGAUACGAAAUCCAUCAUCAUCAUCAUCAUCAUCAUCAUCAUCAUCAUCAUCAUUCUGACACAAAACCACAUGUAAAAUUAUU